RNAcentral lists this transfer RNA (71 nucleotides) under Loxodonta africana (African savanna elephant). It matches the Rfam family "tRNA". From Rfam's summary of the family: Transfer RNA (tRNA) molecules are approximately 80 nucleotides in length. Their secondary structure includes four short double-helical elements and three loops (D, anti-codon, and T loops). Further hydrogen bonds mediate the characteristic L-shaped molecular structure. tRNAs have two regions of fundamental functional importance: the anti-codon, which is responsible for specific mRNA codon recognition, and the 3' end, to which the tRNAs corresponding amino acid is attached (by aminoacyl-tRNA synthetases). tRNAs cope with the degeneracy of the genetic code in two manners: having more than one tRNA (with a specific anti-codon) for a particular amino acid; and 'wobble' base-pairing, i.e. permitting non-standard base-pairing at the 3rd anti-codon position. Lineage: Eukaryota; Metazoa; Chordata; Mammalia; Proboscidea; Elephantidae. The record is from Rfam by way of RNAcentral.
ACAUUGGUGGUUCAGUGGUAGCAUUCUUGCCCUACAGACAGGAGAUGCGGGUUCGAUUCCCGGCCAGUGCA